Molecule: ribosomal RNA, 409 nt
Filed under: uncultured bacterium
Lineage: Bacteria
Description: bacterial SSU rRNA
Rfam family: Bacterial small subunit ribosomal RNA
Source: RNAcentral
AGUGAACGCUGGCGGCAGGCCUAACACAUGCAAGUCGAACGGCAGCACAGUGGAGCUUGCUCCAUGGGUGGCGAGUGGCGGACGGGGUGAGGAAUACAUCGGAAUCUGCCCAGUCGUGGAGGAUAACAUAGGGAAACUUAUGCUAAUACCGCAUACGACCUACGGGUGAAAGCGGGGAUCGCAAGACCUCGCGCGAUUGGAUGAGCCGAUGUCCGAUUAGCUAGUUGGCGGGGUAAUGGCCCACCAAGGCGACGAUCGGUAGCUGGUCUGAGAGGAUGAUCAGCCACACUGGAACUGAGACACGGUCCAGACUCCUACGGGAGGCAGCAGUGGGGAAUAUUGGACAAUGGGCGCAAGCCUGAUCCAGCCAUGCCGCGUGGGUGAAGAAGGCCUGGUGUAAGCCUUGUCC